UGGGUUUGUUCAAUGUAAUUGGGUUUGGUUAGUUUGGGUUUGUAUUUGGGUAUAUUUUUUGGGUUAGUUUCAUCUCCUUCGUUUUGGGUUUGUUAUUUUUAGUGAUUUGGACCUUUUCAUGUAAUUGGGUAUUUGGGUCGGGCAAAAAUUGGGUUUUACAGCUGCCCCUCUUUGCUCGUUGUCGUGUAACGAGAAUGAAGCUAUGACCACAGAAAGGCCAAUUUUGCCCGGUCUUACCACAUCUCGCCCUCAUUAUGCUCAUCUUCUUCAAGUAGCCCCAUUCCAAUCCACUGCAUCUUCAGAGGUAUAGAAAUUGUGCUUUCGAUCCACUCUUCAUCCUCAGUCUACUCUAUUGCGACUUCAGGGAGAUAAAACUUAUAAUUUUGAGCCUGCUCCACUGUAACUUCAAGGAGAUAAGGCUAGUGGCUUAAAUUUGCUCCAUUGCCGAUACAUGGAGAUAAGAUUCAUCGUAUUCGAUCCCGCUUAGGGAGAAAAGAUCUGCAAUUUUCAGUCUGUUUCCUUGCUACCUUAGGAAGAUAAGACUUGUAUCUUCAACAUGCUCUCGUGCUACCUCAGAGAGAUAAGGCUAGUGGCUAAAAUCUGUUCCAUUGCCGAUACAUGGAGACAAGAUUUACCAUCUUCGAUCUACUCCACUACUGCUUAGGGAUAUAAGAUCUGCAAUUUUCAGUCUGCUUCCUUGCUACCUCGGGAAGAUAAGACUUGUAUCUUCAACCCGCUCUCUUACUACCUCAGAGAGAUAAGGUUGGUGGUUAAAAUCUGCUCUCUUACUGAUACAUGGAGAUAAGAUCCGCCGUCUUCGAUCUACUCCACUACUGCUUAGAGAGAUAAGAUCUGCAAUUUUCAGUUUACUUCCUUACUACCUCAGGAAGAUAAAACUUGUAUCUUCAACCUGCUCUCUUGCUACCUCAGAGAGAUAAGGCUGAUGGCUAAAAUCUGCUCCAUUGUUGAUACAUGGAGAUAAGAUCUGCCGUAUUUGAUCUGCUCUGCUACUACUUAGGGAGAUAAGAUCUGUAGUUUUCAGUCUGUUUCCUUGCCACCUUAGGAAGAUAAGACUUGUAUCUUCAACUUGCUCUCUUGUUAUCUCAGAAAGAUAAGGUUGGUAGCUAAAAUCUGCUCCAUUGCCGAUACAUGGAGAUAAGAUUCGCCGUCUUCGAUCUGCUCCACUACUACUUAGAGAGACAAGAUCUGUGAAUUCACAAAUGUUGAUAUACUGUCCUCUAGGGAACAUGCCCUGUAGACUCAGUUUCAUUUUCCUAUGUUUAUGCCAAAUGAUUAGGAUGCUAUGAUUAAAAUGAAUCGAAUGCUCCUAACUAGGUGUGUAUGAAUGAUAUUUGCAUGAAAUGCAAAAUGUCGUGAGAAUGAUGCCUUUUUAAAUGCUUAAAAUUUCAUUACUCGUUAUUCAUCAGAGUUUUAUCAUUGUUGUAUUAUUCUGCCUUCUUGCUCAGCUAGCAUCUUCUAUAGAAAAUCCGUAGAAAUAACCCAUUUUGCUCAACUGGUUUGCCCCAUUGUAACUUCAGGGUCUAUUUCACUGUACUUCUGAGACCUAAGGUUUAUACCAUCUUCAAACCCUCCCCUGUAACUCAGGAGUAUGGGACCUGAAUCCCUUAUCUAUUUGGUCUAUUACACCAUUCCUCGGGCGUCAUGAAUAGAUGUGUACACCUAAUAUUUGCAUGAAUGAGGAAUAUGAUUUCUCUUUUUCCAAUAAUGAUCCCCUCUUAUACUUGGGUUGAUAUCACUCAUUUUCGUUAUUGACGCGAUUUCUGGUUCAACUGAUAUCUUUGCCUAAAAAUUCAAAGAGAUAAUCUCAAUUUGGAUUCAAAUAUUUCCAACUCUUAAGCGAGGUAAGUUCUAAACAAUAGUCCAGUUUCAGGUUCUUGCACUAUUUAGAGCCUUUUAGAGUAAUAUGCAAAACUCCUUUCGUGAAAGUGUUAUUAGUCCAUUAAUCCUUAUUUCAAUAUGAGUGCUUGAAAAAGAUUAUAAAGAUAGACAAAACUGAAAUUCAUUAGGAACAAAAUUCGAAAUGUAUGGAUUAAUCAACGAAAGCAAAAAUUGCUGGAAUACAAAAAAUAGGAAAAGGAAACAAAUAAGUGCCCCAGAUAUCGCAGCCUGAGUUCUCCGUACAAACUCUUCGAUGACCAUUUUGAGCUUAAUUAUCAUGUACAUAAGAGAUCUAAAGUACUUUACCGAUGCCCCAAAAUGUAGCACACUUCCUCUUCGUUAAUUCGAGCAGAGCAAGAUUACUACCUGUCUCAUCAUUGAUCGAAUUUUGAACUGCCCUUUUCGGGUUUUCAAUUCAAAGCCCUUUUGGUCACAAGGCGCCCUUUGCGGGUUUUCACCUCAGCCUCUCCCCCUUUGCCCUUUUUUUUUUACUAGGUUAGGCAAGCUCUUACCGUCCAUCUCAGUUAAUAUCAGUGCCCCUCCAGAAAAAGCCUUCUUUACCACAUAAGGUCCUUCCCAGUUUGGCAUUCAUUCCCUCUGAAAUCUUUCUACAAAUGGAGGAUCUUUUUUAAUACCAAGUCUCCCUCAUGAAAUACUCUAAGGCGAACCUUUUUGUUGUACGUUCACAUCAUUCGUUUCUGGUAUAUUAGACCAUGACGGAUAGCCUUCAACCUCUUUUCUUCAAUCAAGUUCAGCUGAUCAUACCGGGACUGGAUCCAUUCUGCUUCGUCAAGCUUCAACUCUGAUAAAACCCGGAGAGAAGGAAUUUCGACUUCAAUGGGCAAAACUGCCUCCAUCCCAUAAACCAAUGAAUAGGGUGUUUGAUCGCGUGAUUCAUAACAAGUAAUAAAUAUUUAAAAUGAAGAUCAAACUUAGACUAACUAAUGUCCCAAUGUAGGCAAGUGUACCUAUCGAACAGUAGUAUAGUUUUAGCAAGACCGGAUUGUCGAACCCAAAGGAACUAAAAGUACUAGUAAUGAAUGUCUUUUUAUUAUUUAGCCUAAGAAUAAGGGGUUUUUUUUAAUUGACUAAUUAUCUAAACUAAGAAUGCACAGAGAAGAGAAUUGGGGAAUUGCUUUUGGGAAAAUCAAUUGACUUGAGACAAUACCUAAGGAACAAUCCACCAAAACUUUACUUGUUAUUCUGGCUCUGAACCGGACAAUUUAUUCAUUCAACUUGUUCCGUAGAGAUCUCUAAGUUAUGUUAUUAUCCCUAUUCAAGACUAAUAAUGUCUAAUCCUUAGACUGAAUAACUGAAACUUUUCUCUAAUUAACACUCUUGGGUUGCAUUAACUCGAUCUAUGGAUCCCCGUAUUAGGUUUCACCCUAAUCUGGCAAAAUCUUGUCACCCUAUUUCUAAGCACACAAUUAACUCCGCUUAAUUAUGACAAAUGUACUCUUAGACAGGGUCUAUUCCUCCUCUGAAUAAGAGCAUGUCUGGAAUCAGUAUCCUGGGAUAUCAAAACAAGAAUUAAGAACACAUAAUUAAGAACAAGUUAAAUAUUUAUCAUACGAUUCAGAAAAUAAUAACAAGAUUCGUCUUAGGUUUUAUUCCCCUUAGGUAUUUAGGGGUUUAGUUCGUAACUAAAUAAGAAAACAUUUCAGAAGAAUAAAGAAUACAAAACAUAAAGAAAACCCAAAACUCCUGAAGGGAAAUUGAGGAGAGAUCUUCAGUCUUAAUGAUGAAUACGGCUUCUGAGAUGGAUUAAUCGGCUUCCUUGGGGUAAUUUCUUACCCUCUUUCUCCGUCCUCCUCUUUCUCCACCUCUAAGUUGUAUUUAUAGGCUUUGGAAUGCCUAAAAACCCUCAAAAUUGGCCUUUCCCGAAUUAGACUCAACUUGGGCUUGGUAGGGACACGCCCGUGGCACACGCCCGUGUUCGAUUACUUCAGGCCGUGUUCAAGCCUGCCAAAUUGACACAGCCGUGUGGUCUGCCCGUGUGAGGAGGUCCAGGGGUGUUGAUUUCGUACUUUGGCUUAUUUUCUCCGUUUUUGGCCCGUUUCUCGUUCCUUUCGCUCUCCUAAGCUCUCCUAAGUAUAAAACAUGAAAUUAAAGCAUUAGAAGCAUCGAAUUCACUAAUUCUCAUGAGAAAUCAUCCAUAAAAUGCAUUAAACAUGGGUUAAAAAUAUGUAUAAUUUACGGUUUAUCAAAUACCCUCACACUUAAGCAUUUGCUUGUCCUCAAGAAAAAUCCUCAACUCAUAAUUAAAAUAAAUUCUCCUCAACUUAUAAUUCUUAUCGAUAAUAGCUCAAAAUAAUCUAUAGGUAAUCAUACAUUGAGAAUUCAACUAAAAGAACAUAAAAGCUUCAGACAUUCCAAGUUGAGUAUUUAAUCAUGCAAACAUAGGUGUCUCUCCGCUUCUAGGUAAUUACCUUUGAUUCAGAAUAUCACAGAGUUUCACAUCCUCACUAAAGAUUCACUCAAAUCACUCGAGGUUUUAAGGACAAUAAAUGAAGCAAUCAAUAGUCAAUAAUGAAAAGUCAUUACCAUAGACUUGCAUGAAAAUCAAAUCUCCACCACUAUAAUUUAAGAUGAUACAUCAAUCAAAAGGUCUUUAGAGGGUUGUAAUGCGGCUUGGUUAGGGGGGUGUGGUCACAAGCUGAAAGAAAGGGUUAGAAUCGAGAUUGAAUUGAAAAAUUGCCUAACUAGAAAAAGAGUUAAUCUUCACUUGCGUACAACAGAGCUUCUUCUCAGAAUAUGGAAUUACUAAUAUAUAUACAUAGUUCUUUUUUUUUAAGAACAAGUUAAAUAUUCAUAGACUAACUUAUUACAAACAAGACAUAGCUAAGCAAUUUCCUCAACUCAAAUCUCGACAAAAAUAGGGAUUAAAUUAGGGGGUUUCAACAAUAAUGUGUUAAAGGUUAAUAUUAAGGGUAAUACAAGAAAUGGCUUAUUAGGCUCAAGGGGGUUUACUAGGGGUUAAUCGUGGAGGUAGGCUUUUCAUGGCAUGAGUGGGUUAAUCCUAAGUGCCUUAAUCAUUUUGAUAUAUCAAAUCAAACGGUGUGGUCUCGACAUGCAUAAUCAAACAAGUUCUAGAAUAACAGUUCAAUACUGACGCACUCAAAGCAAUAAUAAAAGUGAGCAUGAAUGGAUGAAUAGAUACUCAAAAGGCUCAAAAAUUUCACAAAAAUUAUGGCUUUUUGAUGUUUAGACUCGUGAAUUCCAAUUCAAAGUAAUACCUAGACUUGGGGAAACAGCCUAAGAUUUUGAAUUCUUAAAAAUCAACUCAUCAUGCUUGAUUCUCUAUUGUCUUAAAGUUUAAAUAAUCAAUGUAUAAAUCCCCUCAAGGUAUAUCAAUCAAAAUCAUAAAUUAAUAAAAAUUUAUCCUAAAUAUGAUAUGAGAGUUUCUUCAAGAGAACAAGAUGAUUAUUCAGGGAUUUUCUAAUAAUGAAAUAAAUACCCCACCAUAUUUAAGAUGUACAUUGCCCUCAAUGUACAAAGAUAGAUAUUAGAGUAUAAAAAUAAGAUAGGGAGAAGUGAAACUUCCUGUAUGAUGAAUUCCUCGAACUAGAGUUUUGGAGAGUGAUCGGUUUGAGGGUGGAGGAGGAAACUCCGGCGGUCGUAGAGGUUCAUUAGGCCAUAAGUCCUACGCCAAAAGAAUAUUAUAUCUAGUGGUAGCUAUGCUCGUGGUUGAGCAGGACAUGACAGUUGUAGAGAACCUUUUCCGGUGGAGUUUUAGUUCCUAUGUGAGGAUGAGCUUAAGAGCUCUAUAUAACUGUGAUAAAAUCAGGAACUUUUUUAGGGGAUAGUAGGAAGAAUAAGUACUCGAAAAAAAAUAACUGAAAUUUAUAAUAAAAUUUUAAAUCUGCUAAAAAUAAAAAAUAAAAAGUAGUUUGAAUAAAAAUUAAAAACAUAAAAUAAUAAAAUAAAUAUUUCUAAACAUUUUCAACAUUGGAUGGUUCGCAAUGAGAUGUGGACCCGCACAAGAUGACGCUCCCUUCCUCUUCUUCGAGGCUGGUACGGCGAAUUUCUUUCUUCUUGAAGAUGACAUUGAAGGCGCUAAGGGAGAGAGAUUGAGCUUUAAAAAUGAAAUUGUAGGCUGCGUAAGGGUGUGGCAAGGGGUACAAUCGUGUGGAAAAAAAUAGAGGGAAAAGAGAUGGAAAAGUGAGGAUUAAUGCAGGGGAAGUGGAUUUUAGGAUGGUUUGAGGGUAGGGGAAAUGAGAAUCUGGAGAAUGGUGGACGGAAUAGGGAUUAGGGAGUGGGGAAGGGGAGUUUUUAGCUAGGGUUUUGAAAGGAAGAAGCAAAAGAACAGUGAUUUGCUUAUAUAGAGGAGGUGCACACGGCCUAAAGCCAUGCCCGUGUUCUCUGAAAGUGAGCCUGUGUUUUUUAAAUUUUGCAAUUUAGGUCGUGCCCGACUACUAUCCCAUGCCCAUGUGUUUGGGGCGUGUGUGGUACACAGCCAUAUCGCACAGUCAUGCCUAGCUUUGUUCGCUUGUCCCACACCCGUGUGUUAGGGUACCACGCCCAUAUAUUGUUGUCCAUGGCUUAACGGCACACGCCGGUGUCGAAGAAACAGAAUCGAGCCUUACCCCUGGUACGCCCGUGUUUUUUCAUUCUCACGCUCGUGUUCACCUAUCAAGUUCGCCCAUGGCCAUGUCGCACGGCCGUGGGGAUUUAUCGCAUCCCGUGUUUAGGGAAAUCAUUUACCCUAUUUUUGCACGGCCGUAUUGUAUGGCCAUGUUUACCUCUGUAUUGGUCACACGGCCUUAAGCACGGCCGUGUUAUCGGCCGUGUGGAGCUGGGAACCUGUGCUUCAAAUACCCUGUUAGUGACCUAAAUGUUUAAAACUUGAAUUUAAAAUCAUUUAAAAUAAUUUAAAAUCGUUAGUACUUGGGUUGCCUCCCGAGAAGCGUUUAUUUACAGUCUAAGCUCGAGUUACCUCUCCGGUGAAUGGUCAGGGUGGUUCGAAGAGUUUAUACUCCUCAUUCCUGCUAUCAAUCUCAUCAAAAUAGGGUUUUAAUCGGGUGUUAUUUACCUUAAAAGUGCCGAACUUGGGGUGACUCACCUCCACCGUACCGAAUGGAAAAAUACUGAGUACCGUAAGAAAGAUUUUCUCAUUCGGUGUGGUAGUGACAAUAUGGAGAUCAGCGGCAUCUAGUAAGACUUGAUCGCCAACCUUAAGUUGAUUAAGAGAGACAUCAGGCUUGUUUUGGCGUAGUUUCGAUUUAUCAUGUGUUCUCGGUUUGUGUGCUCGCCAUUCGUCUAGCUCCUCUAUCCGUAGCCUUCGUUCUUCAUAAUUGUGUUCUCUAUCAUUUCUGGAACAUGGCUCGUGAACUUCUUUGAAGCUUAAUUUCUGCAAAGUCAUAUUGUCAGUUUUAGUAGAUUGGUUUGGACUUUUACCUUCAAUGUUCAAUGUGAUGCCAGAAUUACGAGCUUGAAGGGUGAUCGUUUCGUCUCCCACACGAAGUGUAAGCUCACCAAUUAAACAAGGAAUUGUAAAACUCCCUGGAUAUUUCAAUUUGUGGGGUAGCUUAUUCUGUAGAAUAACUGAGCAAACUGCGUUUAGCUCCACAUGCGAUGCUUCGUCCAACUUCCGCUUAUUUACUAAAAGCUCUUUUAAAAAUUUCAUUGCAUUUGGCAUCUGCGACAAAGCUUCAAUAAACGGUAAGUUAAUAUGUAUUUUUUUCAAAAGUUUGAGGAAUUUACCGAAUUGUUCGUCUGAGCGGUCUUUCCUUGUCGCGUUAGGGUAUGGGACACGAGGUUUAUAUUCAUCAUUCACCAUUUUGAUAUAACUUACCUCACUUUUACCUUUGCUCACCACAGUUGCUUGCAUCAAUUCUGGCUCAGGCGCAAUGAAUCCUUCCUUAUCUUGAGUACUAAUUGCGUUGAGGUGUUCCCUUGGGUUAGGUUCAGUAUUACUUGGUAAGCUACCUUGUGGUCAUUCGGAGAUUAAUUUGGAUAGCUGACCUAUCUGAGUUUCGAGUCCUUGGAUUGAUGCUUGUUGAUUUUUAAGUGCCGUUUCGGUAUUUUGGAAACAGGUUUCUGAUAUUGAUAUGAAUUUUGUGAGCAUCUCUUCAAGGUUCAGUUUCUUCUCUUGUUGAUAAGGUGGCUGCUGAAAACCUCGAGGACUUUGUGGCUUUUGAUUUCCUUGACCACCCUAGGAGAAAUUUGGGUGGUUCCUCCAACCUGCAUUAUCAGUAUUACUGUAUGUGUUAUUUUGAGAUCUAAAGUUAUUGUUACCCAUAUAGUUGACUUAUUCCUCUUCGGUUGUGGGAUUGAAAGAUUGAUAUUCUGUAUGCACACCUCCUCCACUUGAGUCACACCUUAUUACUGGAUGUAUCUACGUAGAACCAAGUAAACCAUCAAUCUUUUUAUUGAGAAGUUCUACUUAAUUUUACGGCAUAGUAACUGAGUUAGCGUUAUUAACGCUGGCUGUUUUUGUUGGCUUAGUUCUAAUGACUUGCUACUGAUAGUUAUUCAGUGACAUUUCUUCAAUGAAUUCAUAAGCCUCUUCAAGUCUUUUGUUAUUGAUGGUUCCGCCAGCAGCUGCAUCAACCAUUUACCGAGUCGAGGGAUUCAAACCAUUGUGAAAUGUUUGUACUUGCAGCGAAAGCGGUAACUGAUGGUGAGGGCACCUUCUCAGUAAGUCCUUGUAUCUCUCCCAUGCAUCGUAAAGUGUUUCUAAAUCCAUCUGCACAAAAGAAGAAAUAUCAUUAUGUAACUUAGCCAUUUUAGCCGGUGGAAAGUAUUUUAGUAAAAAAAUUUCGGUCAUUUGUUCCCAAGUAGUAAUUGACCCUUGUGGUAACGAGUUCAACCACUGUUUAGCUUUAUUCCUCAAUGAAAAAGGAAAUAACCGAAGACGAAUGGCAUUAUCAGAAACACCAUUGAUUUUGAAUGUAUCGCGAAAUUCCAGAAAAUUUGCUAAGUGAGCGUUGGGAUCUUUAUCCUGUAAACCAUCAAACUGAACAAACUGCUGUAUCAUCUGAAUAGUGUUAGGUUUUAAUUCAAAAGUAUUUGCAGCUACAGCAGGUCUAACUAUACUAGGUUCAGUUCCUGUUAAAGAAGGUUUAGCAUAAUCAUACAUAGUGCGUAGAGCAGGAUUUUGAUUAACCGCAAUUGCAGGAGGUAGCUGAUUGCCUUGGUUUUCAGUCAUCUCUUCGGUUGGGGGUUGAGUAUCUUCUUCUUGCUCAUUCUUCGUGUAUCGUAAGCUGCGCCUUAUCUCUCUUUGAUUUCUACGAACUGUACAAUCGAUUUCUUCGUCAAAAAGUAAUGGUCCCGACGGGUUUCUUCUAGUCAUAAACUAUAAAAACCUGCUAAGAGAAAGAAAAAGUAUAUUAAUAAAAUUAAAUUAAAUUGCAAGAAAAAUAAAUGGCUAAAGUAAUAAAAAUUUAGCGUUCCUAAUAUUUUAGUUCCCCGGCAACGGUGCCAAAAACUUGAUCACGUGAUUCGUAACAAGUAAUAAAUAUUUAAAAUGAAGAUCAAACCUAGACUAACUAAUAUCACGAUGUAAGCAAGUGUACCUAUCGAACAGUGGUAUAGUUUUUGCAAGACCAGAUUAUCGAACCCAAAGGAACUAAAAGUACUAGUAAUGACUGCCUUUUUAUUAUCUAGCCAAAGAAUAAUGGGGAUUUUUAAAUUGACUAAUUAUCUAAACUAAGAAUGCACAGAGACGAGAAUUGGGGAAUUGCUUUUGGGAAACUCAAUUGACUUGAGACAAUACCUAAGGAAAAAUUCACCUAGACUUUACUUGUUAUUCUGGCUCCGAACCGGACGAUUUAUUCAUUCAACUUGUUCUGUAGAGAUCCCUAAGUUAUGUUAUUAUCUCUAUUCAAGGCUAAUAACGUCUAAUCCCUAGAUUGAAUAACCGAGACUUUUCUCUAAUUAACACUCUAGGGUUGCAUUAACUCGAUCUAUGGAUCCCUGUAUUAGGUUUCACCCUAAUCUGGCAAAAUCUUGUCACCCUAUUUCUAGGCGCGCAAUUAACUCCGCUUAAUUAUGACAAAUGUACUCUUAGAUAGGGUCUAUUCCUCCUUUGAAUAAGAGCGUGUCUUGAAUCAGUAUCCUGGGAUAUCAAAACAAGAAUUAAGAACACAUAAUUAAGAACAAGUUAAAUAUUUAUCAUACGAUUCAGAAAAUAAUAACAAGAUUCAUCUUAGUUUUUAUUCCCCUUAGGUAUUUAGGGGUUUAGUUCAUAACUAAAUAAGAAAACAUCUCAAAAGAAUAAAGAAUACAAAACAUAAAGAAAACCCAAAACUCCUGAAGGGAAAUUGAGGAGAGAUCUUCAGUCUUGAUGAUGAAUCCGGCUUCUGAGAUGGAUCAAUCGGCUUCCUUGGGGUAAUUCCUUACCUUCUUAUCCGUCCUCUUUUUUCUCCUCCUCUAGGGUGUAUUUAUAGGCUUUGGAAUGCCUAAAAACGCUCAAAAUUGGCCUUUUUCAAAUUGAACUCAACUUGGGCUCGGCAGAGACACGCUCGUGACACACGCCCGUGUUCGAUUACUUCAGGUCGUGUUCAAGCCUGCCAAAUUGACAUGGCUAUAUGGUCUGCCUGUGUGAGGAGGUCCAGGCCGUGUUGAUUUCGUACUUUGGCCUAUUUUCUCCAUUUUUGGCCCACUUCUCGUUCAUUUUGCUCUCUUAUGCUCUCCUAAGUAUAAAACAUAAAAUUAGAGCAUUAGGAGCAUCGAAUUCACUAAUUCUAAUGAGAAAUCAUCCAUAAAAUGCAUUAAACAUGGGUUUAAAAUAUGUAUAAAUUACGGUUUAUCAGUGUUGCCCCUCUAAAAGUUCUGACAAAUGUUCGAUAGGUAAAAAGAGCAAAUGGUAACUUUUCAUGCCAAUCCUUGUAGGUCUCAGUCAUUUUACCAACAAUCUUCUUGAUAUUUUUAUUAGUUGCCUCAACUGCACCAUUCAUUUUUGGGCGUUAUGGAGACGAGUUGUGGUGCUUAAUUUUGAACUACCUGCAGACCUCCACUAUCACAGUGUUAUUCAAAUUGAAUGUGUUGUCAGAUAUGAUCCUUCUUCAAGAACUUGCUGACCGCCGACUUUGUGACAUUAGCGUAUGAAGCGGCUUCUACCCGCUUGGUGAAAUAAUCGAUGACUACAAAGAUGAGUAGAUGUCUAUUAGAAGCCUUAGGCGAAAUUGGCCCAAUGACGUCCAUGCCCCACAUUGAGAAAGGCUGUAACACCCCCUUUAACCCCAAAUCGUCACUGAAAUAGGGUUACGAGGCAUUACCAGACAUAUCAGACAACUUACAAAAAAAUUCACAAAUAAAUAAUAAUAUUCAUAGUAUAAUAUAACAGUUAAAUCCUAUUAAUAGAUGCUGGAAGCCAAAAUAUAAAUUAAAAGUGAAACUGAACUUGUUCAAAUUCUCCGAAAUUUUUUCGUAAUUUAAUUUAAUUUUUUUUUUAAAUUUCGACAGCAUUUCUGCUUAUUUUUACAUAAAACCCCCUGCAAACUUUAAACCCAAAACAAUCCAAUAUCAAUACUCCAACCAAUGAUUAAGUAUACUCAAUUACAUCCAACUUAUAUUAAAAUAAUAAUUCAAUACCUUAGUUUAAACAAUAUAACAUGUUAGCAUAUAUGUAUAAUUAAUAAUAUUUAUUUCAUUUCAAUUAUUUAUUACCAAAUCUACCAUUUCAUAACUUUAUAUCAUAUUCAUAAUCCAAAACAUUAUAAUCAUUUAUAUACAACCAAAAUCAUUUAACUUAAUGUAUAUAAAUAAUUUAUAUUUAACUACCUAGUACAUGCCACUUAACAAAAGGAAGAAAUACAUCACCAAAAUCUUCUUGUUGGAGUCGGGUUUGUUUUGGAUGCUAGAUCGGAUCCGAAACUCUAAUGACCUGUGCACGAAAACAACCGUACGCUGAGUAUUUCAUACUCGGUGGUAUUACUAUAAAUCAAGACUAUUUAACAUUAAUAAAUUACAAACAUCAACCAUAAAUUUUAUAAUCAUUUAAACUAAUUAUAUAUAUAAUUAUAUUACUUCAUAAAUCUUAAAUUCAUAUUUCAUUUUUCACAUACCAACUCAAUUCAUAAUUUAGUUCAUACAUUUUUUCUCAUACUUUUCAAUAGUGCCAAAACAAUUAAUCUCAUUUUCAAAAUUUCAUUUCAAUUAUUUACCCUAUUAACAAGGCUCGGACUUUGAUAAAUACGCGAAUUCCACCCAAACACACCAGAAUGUCCAAUCCAAACACACCCAGAAUAUUAUAAAUCCUCCAUAACACACCAGUAAGGCAUGAAAUGCCUCUUCGGAUAAACCGAAGUAUAUAAUAACAGAAACAUCUUCUCGGUCGAACUACAAAUCUCCUCAUCACAUCACAAAUCCAAUGGCAUGCCAUUUGUAUCAAAUCUAGUCUGACAAGUUAAUAGGGUAUUAUUUUACUUUUCCAAUUUCAUUUUCAUUUACACACAAAUUUUCAAUUCACAAUCAAUUCAAACAUCUAUUAUCUUAAUUUAUAUAUAAAUUAAUUUUCACAGAUACUCAUAUUUAAUUUCAAAUAUAUUACUUACCUUAACUUAAUUAUUCCAUAACUAUAAAUUCAGUAUACAUUUAGUAAAUAGUUUGAGUUAUAGUAAUACAAACCCACAAUACGAGUUUACUCCUCAACGAUCUUUUCUUUUCCUUUGGAUGCCGAUGCCUCGUUUUCCUUGUUAGCUACGGAAAAAAAAUAAUAACAUUUUACAUUAUUAAUUACAGUAUUAAUUUAAUAAUUAAUUGAAUUUUUAUUCAAUUUUUUCCUAAUUCCAAUUUAAUCCUAAUUAACUCUUUUAUUUGUUUAACUUAAUUUAUACUUCAUUUCUACUCAAUUUCCUUCCAUGUUCACCCUAACAAUCUAAUGUUCAUUAUAAAACCCUAAUUUAAAAUUUCUUUCAAUUUAAUUUCCUAAAACACAAAACUUAUAGAUUCUUUUACAAUUUAAUCCCUUUUUCAAUUUCUAACUUAAAAUUCAUUCAAUUAAAUCCCUAAUUCUUCUUUUUCUUCAACAUGAACUUUAUUUAAAAGCUCAUAAACUUUCAAACUAUCAAAUUAAUUUCAUCAAAACCUUAUUUUAAGACUUCUAAAACAUCAAAUUUAAGAGAAAAGGACUAAAUUUAGCUUACCAAAUAACCUUGAAGCUUUAAAAUCCAAAUUUUCCCUUUUUCUUUUCUUUCCCUUUUCUUCCCUUGUUUUUCGAAUGCUCUCUGUUACUUAUUUUGUUUGUUAGCUUGUUUCUUUUUCCUUUACUUUUGUUUUGUUCUAUUUACUUUUAUUUAUUUUAUUUAUUUUAUAAUAAUAUAAUAACUUAAUAAAUAUCUAUUUAUUAAUCAAUAUAUUUAUUACAAGUGUAAUAUUCUUAUAUUUACACAUGUACUAUAUCAUCAUCAUACAUUUGUCAUAUUUUAAUUUAUUUAUCAUAUAAAAAUCUUAUAAUAUAAUUAUUUAAUAAAUAUCUAUUUACUUAAUAAUAAUUAAUAAAUAUCUAUUUACUUAAAUAGUAAGUAAUUUAAAUUCAUGAAUUAGAAGUGUAAGUGUAUGCUUAUUAUUGUUACAUUUGUAUUUUUUUUAUCAUCAUCCACUUGUCAAAAUCAUACUUUAUUAUCAUAUAAAAAUCUAAUUAUUUUAAAUUGAUUUAAUAAAAUUUAUAACUAAAUUAAAUAUUUAUAUAAUCAUUGUUUUUAAAAAAAAUCUUAGAUUUUUACUCCCUUUUGCCGCCUCAUCUUCCCAAAUAGGCUUAGUUGUCUAUUUGGUCCUUAUUAUUUCCUAUUAAUUUACAAUUAGACUUUUACUCCUUAUUCAAUUUAGUCCUUUUUACUAACUACUCUAAAUUAAGCUAAAUUAACUUAAUUUAAACAUAAUUAAACAUAUCGCUAAACCCAUAAAUAUUUUUAGUAAUUAUUUUCGAACUCGAUUUACUAAGACGGAGGCCCGUUAAUAUACUUUUCCGAUGCUCGUAAAUUUUGGGUCAUUACAAAAGCCAUAGAGAAGUCAUAACAUGAAGAGGUGAAGGAGGCACAUAGAUCUUGUCUCCAUAAAUUUGGCACUUAUGGCAUUUCUUGGCGUAACUGAUGUAAUUUCCCUCCAUCGUGGACCUGUAAUACCCGAAUCUCAUGAUUUGCCUGGCCAUUGUGAACCCAUUGGCAUGCAUCCCACAGACACUCUCAUGGACUUCUUCUAGGAUUUUUUUAGCUUCAACAGUGUCAACACAUCUUAGCAACACCUAACCUUUUGUCCUUUUAUACAGGAUCUUUCUGUCUAAGACAUACUCGCUAGCCAGCCUCCUCAACGUUCUCUUAUCAUUUUCAGUUGCCUGAUCAGGAUAUUCAUGGUUCUUCACGUAUCGUAGAAUAUCAUGAUACCAAGGAUAAUCAUCUCUCUCUUCUUCUUCGUCGAUAUUGCAGCAAUUAGCUGGAGCCUCACAAAUACUCAUCUAGAUCGACUUCAUAUCCUCCUAUUUAUUUACUCUGAUCAAUAAAGCUAACGUAGCCAAAGCAUCAGCCAUCUAGAUUUCUUCUCGCGGGAGUUAAUAGAAAGUGAUAUCAUCAAACACCUUAAUUAAAUCCAGAAUUAGCUCUCAAUAGUUGAUCAACUUUGGGUCUCUUAUUUCCCAUUCACCUUUGAGCUGAUAGAUCACCAAUGUAGAAUCCCCAUACACCUCUAACACCUUGAUUUUAUAUUCGAUGGCUGCACGGAUUCCCAUGAUACAUGUUUCGUACUCUGUCAUAUUAUUUGUGCAAUCAAAAUCCAAUUUGCAAGUGAAUAGAUAAUGAUCUCCAUUUGGGGAUAUCAAAAUCGCCCCAAUCUCAUUACCAACGGCGUUUGAUGCUCUGUCAAAAUUCAGUUUCCAAGGAUGAUCUUCUGGAGUGUCCUCUUCGGUAAUUGACACAUACAUUAGAUCUUCAUUAGGGAAAUCAAAGUUUAAAGGCUCGUAAUCUUCUAAAACUCUACUGGCUAGAAAAUCUACUAUUGCACUCCCCUUCACAGCCUUCAGGUUCACAUAGACAAUGUCGAAUUCGGAAAGAAAAAUUUGUCAUUCGGAAAGAAAAGUCUCUGUAAUCUACGCACAUCCGCACUUUUCAUCUUUCUUAGGAACGGGAACAAUGUUAGCUACCCAUUCUGAGUAAUUCACCACUUGCAAGAAUUCAGCAUCAAAUUGCUUCUUGACUUCUUUCAUUAUCUUUACUGUGAUAUCGGGCCUCGUUCUUCGGAGCUUCUAUUGAACUGGCUUGUACUCUUCUUUUAUGGGGACGCGAUGCACCGCAAUAUCAGCGCUUAACUCAGGCAUAUCUUGAUACGACCAUACGAAGAUAUCUUUGAACUCCUGUAGUAAUUCAAUGAGGUCCCGUCUUGUUCCCUCAGUUGUGCAAGUUCUAAUGUUCACCUCUUUCCCUUCUUCCAAGGUCACAUUCUCGAUUGUCUCUUUAUGGGGUAGGAUCUGUUUCUCUUCCUGCUCUACCAUCCUUAACAAAUCUGGAGGUAAGUUAUGGUCUUCAUUAUCUUCAAAAUCCUGAGAUCCCUCCAGACCUAUUGAUAUCUGAAGACCUAUUGUAGGUACGGAAGGAUAUCCAAAAAAUAAAAGAAUCUAAGAAUAGCUUUAUUUGUAUAGCAUGACUAUAAAUGAAAUGCAAGAAAAGAAUAUUUGCACAAGAUGAAAGAAUAUUUACUUAGAAUAGGAUAUAGAAGUGUAUUUAUAUUGAAAUAAAGAUGUUUUAAACAUGAGCCUAUUUUACAAAAGAUUCUUAUUAUUUCUAGGCUUUAAAACAACAAGUGUGUUUUGAAUAUUACUCUGUACUAGCUCUAAAAACUACAAGAAUUCCUUUCACAGUCCAAUAGUUCAGAACACUUCCAGGCUCAUAAGGGCGAAUGCUUGCUAAGUCUCUUUCCAUCACUUUCUCUUCAGAUAUGACGUUAAUGUUCAGACCUCCCAUCAAAUCUUCGGUCGUUCCUUCUCUUGUCAUCUUCAGUUCAGGAUAGAUAAUUCCUUCCAACAUAAAUGUAUUGGAUAUAUGGAGAGAAUUCAUUAAUUCUCACUUGACCUCUGCCCCACUCAAACGUGCUCUUCAUCUAUCUUGCCUCCUUUUCAUCUCCUUUCUCUUUUGCUUUGCAUCUGGCCUAUACCCUAAGCCAAAACGAUCCUGUUUAUCAGCCAAAAGUGGUACCUCAACUCGUCCAUAAAGAUACUUUCCAAGUCCUCUUCUAGGCAAUGCCCCAUUCUCCACAGUUAAUUGCAAGCUAAUCCUCGUAGCCUCAGAUAUUUUUGGCAUUAGGACCAUGCCCCCUUCAAUGAUGAAAGUUGCAUUUAUGAACUCUAGUGACCGAAAGGAACACUCUAUUGCCUCAGUAUCAUUUUCUAUAUAUAAGUAUCAAUGGUGACGGAUGCAAUAAUGUCCUCCUCUACGUUUAUUAUUAUCAGCCGACCCUUUGUCACCAACUUUAGCUUUUGGUGCAAUGAUAACGGUACUGCCCCUGCCGAGUAAAUACAUGGCCUCCCUAAUAGGCAAUUAUAAGAAGGCUUGAUAUUUAUGACUAGGAAAUCUACCUCGUAUGUGUUCGAUCCAAUCAGAAGAGGCACUGCAAUCCUUCCCAUUACCUUCUUUCUAGUGCCAUCAAAUGCUUUCACUAUGUUUUAGCAUGACUUCAUAUGAGAACUGUCUAUUGGUAACCUAUUCAAUGUGGAUAGGGUAAGACAUUCAAUGCUGAUCCAUUAUAAAUUAGUACCCCUGGUAAUAUAUACCCAUUGCAGCGAGUGUUGAUGUGCAGAGCCAUGGUGGAUCCCAUGCCCCUUGGCGGUAUCUCAUCUUCACUGAAAGAGAUGAAAUUAUCGGUGCUUAUGUUGUCGAUAAGACGGACUAGCUUGUUUACCGAAAUGUCAUCAACGACAUAAGUUUCGUUCAACACCCUCACCAAUGCAUUACGGUGUACCUCAGAGUUUAGGAGGAGAGCUAGCACCGAUAUGCACGUGGUUAUUUGUGUAAUUGUUCCACUACGUUAUACUCGCUGUGCUUUAGGAACUUCAAGAAUUCCUUAGCUUCUUUCUCCAUUAUAGGCUCAUUAACCAGUGGUCCUGACCUUUCUUUCCCCUAUUCAAUCAUCAAGGACUUCUCUUUUUCAAGCUCGGCUUUUGUAUUCGGCGUGUUGACCGGACUCCCCUCUCUUGAUGAUGUCACAUUACAGUUAUAAUUCUAAUGCACCAUUUUGCUAUCCUUAUAAGGAAAAGCCGCGGGUUUCUGAAUUACAACUCUUGGUGUGAUUUUUGUUUCAGUUUCAUUAAUUAUUGGUCGUGAAAUAAUCACCACUGGGUGAUUGACCUCAGAGACCUUCUCCAUCGACCCCUCCUCCGAAGCGCAUACUUCUUCCUUCUCAGUAAAUUCAAAGAACUCCAGCUCUUUGUUGUCUAUUAAACCCUGUACUAGGGCUCUAAAUUUGUAUGUUUCAAUCCCAUAGUCUUUAUUAUUGUGAAACUCACAGUUGUUCCUCGCCUCUCGGGAUUUGCUCUUUAAGUCUUGCGUGAUUAACCCUCUUUCCACCAUCUUCUUCCAAACCUCCAUCAACGGGGUUUUCGCUUCUGUAACAUUCAACCUAACUUUCCUUCCUAUAUUCUCGACUAUCAUAUUGACCCCAUUAUCAGUAUGAUUGGGUAACGGAUUUCCUACACUAGUUGCAUCAUUAAAUUUUACAAUACCUAUUUUGAUGAGCCUUUCGACUACCCUUGUGAAAGAGGUGCAGUUCUCUAUCAAGUGUCCCGUGAUUCCCACAUAAUAUUCAUAUUGGUCACUUGCAUCAUACCACUUGAGGUAUGGGGGCUGCAACAGUUUUAAGUAGAAUGAGGAUACAACGUGUGCAUCGAAUAAACUUUUGUACAGCUCCCGAUACGUUAUUGGAAUGGGAGUAAACUGGGGCUUCUCCGUGUUCUACUUUGUAUUGGACUCUUGCCUUGACCAAGCUUGCUAGCCCGUGGCUAUCGCUUUCGGCUGGUUUACCGUAAUUGGUUUCGCAUAACCCAUGCUCACAUUGUUGAUUUCAUUUUCUCUCUUCUUCGAGGCCGACCUUCUGGUGCUUUCCCUAGCCUCUAUUUUCCUGCACCUUAUCGCAUUCUCUAUCAUUUCACCAAACAUCUCUAUGUCUGUGAAACUCUUAGUUGCACUUCCCAGCAUGUGAUUAAUAAAAUAUGCCUUCAAGGUAUUAAUGAAAAAUAUGGUUGUUUCUUUUUCCAACAGUGGCAGUUGGACUUGUGUAGUGACUUCCCUUUAUAUCUGAGCGUAUUACUUGAAACUUUUAUUCGACUUUUAUCAGGUGCUAUAUCCGUCACAUGGCCAUAUUACUUCAUGAAGGCCUGUGCUAAGUCUUUCCAUUAUUUAACUUGGGUACGAUUCAACUGAUUGUACCAAUUGGCCGCAACCCCAGACAAACUGUCUUGGAAACAGUGGAUCAAUAACUGAUCAUUAUUGACAUGACCAGUCAUCCUCCGACAAAACAUCGUGAUGUGAGCCUCAAGGCAGCUGGUUCCAUUGUAUUUUUCAAACUCUGGCAUUUUAAACUUUGGAGGGAGUACCAAAUCUGGGACUAGGCUUAACUCCUUUGCAUCCAUCCCGCAAUGAUAAUUAGUGCUUUCUAACGCCUUGAAUUUCUCCACUAACCAUUUGUAUCGGUCUUCCAGUUGCUUUGGGAAUUUUGCUCCUACCUUUUCUGCUUCCGCUAUAUUAUCGAGGUCAGGGACUGCAGGAUUUGGCCGACUAUCUUCGAGGUUAGAACAUGAGCCCAUUGGGAAAUUUAUCGGUGCUGAAGUACCAGUCUGAUAUUGGGGUUUGAUAUUGAUAGACACCUAUUCUGGUGGUACUGGGGUAUUUAUUGGGGUGAAACCUGGAUAGUAAACAAGGAUCUCACUAUCGUCCUCAGUAUUGAUAAUGAGACUCUUCCCUUUUUCUGGCCUUUCAGCCAGUAGCUGAGACAAUUGGUUUCUCAUAUUCUUUUAAGAUUCCAGCAUAUGAUCCUUCAUAUCCUGUUGAAUCUUGGCCAACUGUUUUUGUAUCUGUAAUUGUAAUUGAUCCUGCAUCUCUUUCUGCAUUUGCUCAAAUUUUUCCAACCUUUGAUCUAUAGCUUUGGUUUUUUUCCGUGUGUAGUAUUGAUGUUCUAGGAUAACUAUAAUGCGAUUUCGAAUUAAUUAGGAUUCUUUUGUGAAAUUUAAUAUAUAUGAUACGAUGAAAUGCAAAUGCAUGAGAUGAAUGCAAAACUAAAAAGACGUCGAUUCUGAUUCAAUUCCAUUUAAAAAACUUUAUUAGAAAGCAAAAUCAUUUACAUAAAAUAGAUCAUAUAUACAAGUUUGCCCUAAUGCCCAAAGUUUUAACUUUCUUAAGAAGGCAAGCCAGCUCACGACCCAAGUCUGACUCUGACUCAUAAUUCACACUUAGCACAUCAGCUUGAACCGCUAAGGUCUGUAAAUGAUCGGCCACUUCUCGAACUUAGCCACGACUUUACCCAUGAUAUGAUCUCUAUCCCUGACCUGGUCCUGCGAUCGACGGAGUUGUUCCUUCCACUGCUCAUUAUUCGACUCAAGGAAUUUGAUUCAAAGUUCACAGUUUUGUAAUGCAAACUCGAGUACUUCUACCUUCCCUUUCAAAUCCUUGAUCCUGUUCAGGUUGGCUCUUAAUUCAAUGUCGGAGUUACAACCACGGUACCGAUGCAGUGCCUUCUCUAGCUCCGCUACCCGAGUUACUAACAUCUUCUUCUUAUCUUGGCCCUCAAACAAGCUCUUCUUUAAGGCUUUUUCACGUGCUCGAGCAUCAUGAAACCUCUUCUCCCACUGAUCAGCUCUAGCUUUUUCUUCUUGAACUUCUUGUCUCCACUCCUCUGACAUCUUUCCCAAUCCAGUAGUUCUCAUCAACAUACGCAGAUUUUUGUAAUCGGUCUUCAAACUGUCCAAGUCUUCUUCAACCUUUCUUUUCCCUUUUUCAACUUCUUAGCCUCAACUUUAUGAACGUCGACAGCCAACCUCAAAUGCAUCUUUUUCUCCUCCAAUUAUUCUAUCUUUUUCCCUAACUCCAAAUUUCUCUUUUCGAACUCUUGUUUUACGAUUUCUAGCUCAGAGGGAUUACUUGCAAGUAUUUUUCCAUUGAUUGAAUGACCUCUAAAUUCAGCCCAGGGACAUUAUCGUUGAUCCUUUUACUCUACCACCCCUUGUAUUUAGAAGUCGUCAUUGAUCCUACAGCCAAUAUCUUCAUCCGGCGUAUCUGUUUCUAAGCAUUAGAAAUCUCUCGAACCUUCUUCUUAUAAUUGUUCUCCAUAUACGAGAACUGCAUUGACCUAUAUUGUCUUAAAACGAGCAAAGAGGCAUAUCCAAUAGCUCUCCAAAUUUCAGGCAGAGGUACCCAAUCAAAACUCCCACACCGAUAGAGGAUCUCAUCAGGAACCAACCAAGGAGCUCUCCACUCAACGUCUUCUUCUUGAAGGUUUUAGAGGAGCGCGAUCCAAUUUUCUUCUAAUAUGUCAUCUCUCCUGGACGUGGCAGUUAUCUCCUUUAACGGGGAGUAACUCUCGGAGAAAAUCUGAUAAGAAACCUUAUCCACCUUUCAAAAAUGGCUGUGAAACCAAGCUAGCAAUAACUGUAUGCACCCUAUAAAUCUACCUUCAUCUGCCCCCUGACAUGCACUUAAGGAUCUGAAUGUCUCGGUUAGAAUUGCCGGCACCAGUGUGACCGGUUUGUUAAGUCGUUCAAAUAAGUCGACAACUGCUUCAUCUAUAUGCCUUAAAGCUUUUGUGAAAAUUACCAAACCAUAUAUGCUCAAGUCAAAGACGUCAACUUUCCUCUUUAUAUCUGGAUGUGCUACCAUCAGGUCCCUCAAACUCACCCAAGGAAUGUACUUACCAUCACCCUUUUGCUAAAUUCGGGCUGUAACCCAUUGUUCACUCAUCCCGGUGAUACUCAUUAAUUUCUUUACAAAAGCCGGGGCAUUAGCAGCCUUAGAAUAAGUUUUGUCGACUUGAACCUUUGGACAACGAAACAAAGCUGUAUACUCCUCCACAAUAGGCACCAAGUCCACCCUCCCGAAGAUGAAACAACUAUAUACCGGGUUCUAAAACUGAGUCAUAGCCCGAAACAAGUACUUGUCCACCUUGAUAUCGAGCAGGUAAGGUGAGUCGCCAUAACUUUGAUAGAACAGCUGCUUAGUGUCAUCAUCCCAACGAGCCCAUAUAUCCCUCAAUUCCUGGAACUCGUUUUGGGUCACAUUGAUGCAAGUGAAAUCUAACAACUCCGAUGUAUACCCUUUAGCUAGGCUAUCUUCUUUCUCAAGUUGCAUCUUCUCUGACCACAUAUGGACAGUCGCAUUAUCUUCUACUUUAUCAAGGAAUUCACUCUCCAUGACAAGCUUUCUAAAUUUGUAACCGAAUAGGAAUCGACACCUCUUUAAUAUGAAAUGACAUGCAAACAUAACCACAACAAAACAUAACAAGUUAGUAUCGCAAAAUAAAAAUCAAAGCAAAAUAGAAAAUAAUCAAACACCUAUUUGGGUAAUCACUAGGGUUCAACAUACCUCUAUCUAGGGCGAGCUCUUAGAGUUCAUUAUAUGUGGCUCAGUUCUAAGGAAAAGGGUACCUGAACCAGCAGAUUCCUCAAUCCUCACUCAUUAUAGGCUUAUAUGGAUCGAGUUCAGUUCAGGGGAAUUGUAAUACCCCAUACCCGUGCCUGAGACCGGGAUAGGAUACAAGGCAUUACCGAAAUUUUCAGAAUAAUUUCAAUUAAUUUAUAUUAUUUAGUAUUCAUUUUCAUGUUUCAUGUAACAUCCUUUUCAUAUAUUCAAUUCAAAAUAUCAUAUAAAAUACGAUACAAUACUUAAAUUUUCAUAUUUACAUUCUCAUUCAGGGUAUCAUAACCUACCUGACUAAAUUGCAGAAAUACCAAGAUUUAGGGGCAUAUUGGUAAUUUACCAUUUUCCCAAAUUUCACCCAAUCUUAAAUUGAUAAUUCCAUUCAAUUUAUUAAUUUAGAUAAUAAAACAAUUUAUUCCGUUCAAUUUAGUCAUUUUUGACAUUUUACAAAAUUGCCCCCUAAAGUUUUACUUUUAUUCAAUUUAGUCCAUGAGCUUAAAACAUGCAAAUUAGCCAUGCUAACUGAAUAUUCAUAUAUAUUUUUCCUCCUCCUCCUCUCCAUUCCACAUCCUUAAUGUAUAUAACAUUCUUGUAAGUACGAUUUCACAAUUUACUUAUUAAUGCUCACAUCAAUCUGUUCACACGAGUCAUAGUCACUCAAUUAUUUAUAAUUCGAGCUAAAGAGCUCAAAAUUAAGAUCUGUAAAUUUUUCCUAAAACUAGACUCACAUAUCAUUCCACCAUAAAAUUUUAAGAAUUUUUGGUUUAGCCAAUUAGUAUAGUUUAUUCAUUUAAGUUUCCCCUGUUUCACUAUCCAACAGUUCUGACCUCUCUUCACUAAAAAUUAAUUAUAUCACAGUACAAAACUCGGAUAAUGUUCCCAUUGAUUUAUAUUGAAAAUAGACUCAUUAAGAAUUCUAAUCAUAUAAAUUUGAGACUCUAAUUAAUUGUCUCCAAUUUUUGGUGAUUUUCCAAAGUCAAAACAGGGGAACCCGAAUUCAUUCUAACAUUAUCUCACAAAAUUCAUUAUAUCUUAUAAUUUACAAAUCCAUUGCUUACACAGUUUUUUCUAUGAAAAACUAGACUCAAUAAGCUUUAAUUUCAUAUUUUAUUCAUCUUCUAAUUCGAUUUCUACAAUUUAUGGUGAUUUUUAAAAGUUAGUCUACUUCUGCUGUCCAAUAUUGUUUUAGUUCAAGAUGUUUAUUACCAUUUUUCCUCUAAAUUUCAAAGGUCAUACAAUUCAGUCCUUGCUCAAUUAGCCCAUCUAUUAAGCUAAUUUUUCUCAAUUAACAUUUUAUUCCAUCAUUCUAAACUAUUACACAAUCUUUGAAAAUCAUAAUUUUAACACUAAACCUUAAUUCACAACUUUUUCACAAUUAGGUCCUAAAAUCAAUAUCUAUUGAAAUUACUUGAUAAAAUCAUCAAACAACAAAAUCAAAGCUUCAAAUUCAUUUUAUUUCAUCAUAAACAGCUAACACUUAUCAAUGAUAGCUUUUAAUUUUGUUCAUAAAAUCAAAAACUAAUGAAUUAAACACUUGGACCUAAUUUAAAAGUCACAAAAACAUAAAAAUCUCAAAGAAAAAGGUAAGAAUUGAACUCACAUAUGUCAAAGUAUGAAAAACCAGCAGCUUUCAGACCUCCCAUGGCGUUUUUGCUGAAGAAAAAUGAUGAUAUCUCUAGAUUUUUCAAAUUUGUCUUGUUUUAUAUGUUUAAUUUGCAAAAUUUCCCAUUUUGCCCUUGUUUCUCCUUGUCUUUUUUGCUGAUUUUCUUGACCAACCGUCCAGCCCAUACAAUUUGGUCCAAUUGCCUUUUAAAUCCCUCCUUUUUAAUCACUUAAACUAUUUAAUCACAAUUUAAUAAAUUUCACACUAUUUUCAAUUUAGUCCUUUUUAAUUAAUUGACUAACCAAACGUUAAAAUUUUCUAACGAAACUUUAAUACUAACUUAAUAACCCUCCAUAAAUAUUUAUAAAAAUAUUUAUGACUCGGUUUAUAAAUUCGAGGUCUCGAUACCUCGUUUUCAACCAAAUUUACCUGAUUAAUUCUUUUAAAAUCGCAAAAUUCACUAAUUAAAAAUAAUUCUUUUAAGUUCGCGCUUGGCCUAUAAUUAUUAUUUUUUAAAAUUUCUAAACUUACUCGUCGGAUUUAGUGAUCUCGAAUCACUGUUUCCGACACCACUGAAAAAUUUGGCUGUUACAGGAAUACAUUUCCCUAUGGCUAUGUAGAGGUGAAAACCUCACGAAGACAUAGGUACGGAUGUAUCCCGGAAGCAGUCCACUAGCCCAUGUGGAGGUGAAAACCUCACGAAGGCAUAGUUUCUCACUCCCACUUAAAAAGUGUGACUACAACGGUUGUAAUGCAAUGCGAGGGGACAUAAAAACUCCAACAUAAAAACAUGAAUAAGAUGAUGAAAACCAUAACACCAAUUAAAAGGAUCGUAUGUUAAAAACCAAAUUUUUAAUUUUCGACAAAAGGACAGAAAAUAAUCAAUUUUACGGCUUGACUCUCUUAUUGGUCCCCAGUAGAGUCGUCAAACUGUCGAAACCAUUUUAUUUUGAAAAACGGGGAUCGACUUUAAAAAACGAAUUAUGGAGUCGCCACCAAUCUUUUUUGGUUUAGGUGUGAUCGGAUCACCUAAUAAAUUAUUUUAUUAAAGAAUGGAUUUUGGCCUACGAAAAAUCAAGAAACAGGUUCAGGAGUCGGUUAAGUACAAGGAAGGAUUAGCACCCUCGUAACGCCCAAAAUUAGUACCUAAUUGAUUAAUUUAUGUCCUAAUGUUGAAAAUCUGAAAAAACAUUUAAAAUACGAUCCCUUUAAAAAAUGUGUGAACAACUCGAGUUGGAUUUUAAGAUUCACUCAUUCCAAAUGAAUAAAAUACCACAUCUAGCACGUUAGGACACGAUAUUUUAAGCUUCCAAAAACUGAGAUCACCUCAUGAUUUCCAAAACACGCAACGAAAUCUUAAAAGGGUAUUCCGUCAUUUGGCCAAACGAAAAAUCGAAACCCAGCACGCUAGGGCACGAUUUCUCGAAUUUUCAAAUACGAAACAUUUCCUUGUUUUGAAAAGUUUCCAAUUAAGCAAUUAUGAAACCGGCUCAAAAUAUAUUCAUUUGGUUUAUCUUAGGGUAAAAACAAUUGAUGUUGGGUGAAGAGUUGGAAUUUAAAAUCAUGAUGCAAUAAUGAACAUGCAAGCUUAUUAUUGAACAUGAAAUGAAAAUAUGUGGCAAUAAUAUUACAUUAUACGAACACUAAUAUUAACAUUUGAAAGCUAAUGAUUUAAAAGCAAAUUUAAAGAAUUACUAACAUGAGUAACAUGUAGCAAGUUUAAAAAAACAAGUAAACAAAUGAGUGAUAUAAAGAAAACGUACUUUUAGAAACAUCAAUAUGCAAACAAUCAAUUAUAUGCAUAAACCUUGAAAUAAGUAACUUACAUGAAAGUUUGAAAUACCAAGAAAAUAAAAUAAGAAUAUAUAUAUAUGAAAUAAUAAUGUAUGAAUGAAAUUUCAAAAUAAAUAAUGUAUAUGAAAAAAGGUAAGUGGCGUAUAAAACAAUAUAUGUCAAUCCAAAUAGGUAAUAUACAUGAAAUGAGAAGACUUAAUAUGAAUAAUACAUAUGUACAAAUAUUAAUAACACAUAAAAGUAUUUGAAGUAAACAAAUGGAUGUAUAUAUAUAUAUCAAUGUACGAAAGUAAAUAUCAUACAAAUCACUAAAGUAUAAAAUUAUAUAAAAGAAUUUUAAAACCAAUAAGUCAUACAAUAAAUCAAUGUAAAAAUAUGCAAAAAAAAAAAAGGAAAUAAAAGCCUUAAUAAUAUGUAAUUUAUUAAAACUGUAUAUAGUAAAAUAGUAUAUGGGAAAAGAAUCAAUAAUAAAAAAGAAAAUUUAAAAUAUGAAUUACAAACUUAAUUUCAAAAAAGUUAAAAUCAGAAAGACAAUUUGUAAAUGAUAAAGUACCGUAGGAUCAAAAUGCGAGGAGUAUAAACUAACGGGGACUAAAAAACAAAUAAACCAAACGUCCAAAAUGAAACACUUAAGCGCGGACUGAUUUGUAAUGGCGCACAAAUUCCAGGGACAAUUUAAAAGAAUUUAAAAAACUUAAACAUGACUCAAUUGAACGCUAGUGCGAAGGCGGGGGACUAAUGCGCAAAUCCCCCAAUCAGAAUCAAAAUGCGUGGACCCUCCCUGCAGGUCAGGUCAAUGCGCGGGUCUGCCCCCCCCAUACGGCGCCGUUUCACUUUGAUUGCUUAAAUCAGUUUAUUUCAAAAACAAUUUUGAUUGAAGGUUUAAAAAAAGAAAGAAAAAAAAGGUUGUUUCAUUCUCUGCUAGGGUUUCAUUCGCAAGCCCUAAUGGCCGCCGCAGUACCAAGGCCACUUUCGGUGGCCAGUGAUGCCGAGAAAUAGGUCUUUCGACCCCAAUCCAAGACCGUUUUCUGGUAAGCUCUCCUCCUUUUCUUCUUAUAUUUCGUAUUUGUGUCGAAUGAAAAAAGAGAAACAAAAUAAAAUUGCAACAAAUAAUCACCUUUGAAGUAUUCUUUUGAUUGCUCUUUAUUUUUUGUGUAUUUUGUAUUCGAAAAUCCGUUCCAAAACAAAUGAAAAUUCGAAGCUUUUAUAGCCCGAAAGUACAACAGUUAUUUUCUAUUCUCUUGCUCACGUCGUAGGUCAUGAAAACGUGGAGGAGGAACAAGCGUGGGGCGUGCUACACGCGAACUAGGGGUCGCGCUUGGUGUGCCGACUUGCGUGGUGGUGGGCCGCCGAACGUGGGGCUGUGGCGUAAGGGGUAGCCUAGGGUUUCCUAGGUUAGCUUGAUUGUUUAGGUUUUCGGCCAAGGGUAUUGGGUUUGUUCAAUGUAAUUGGGUUUGGUUAGUUUGGGUUUGUACUUGGGUCUAUUUUUUGGGUUAGUUUCAUCUUUUUUUGGGGUUUGUUAUUUUUAGUGAUUUGGGCCGUUUCAUGUAAUUGGAUAUUUGGGCCGAGCAAAAAUUGGUUUUUACAUAUACUAAUAUUAUUUUCAUUAUUAUUUUUCUUAUAUAUGUUUUUUUACUCUUAUUAUUAACAUUUUAUUUAUUUAUUUAUUUACAUUUUUUAUUAUUAUCUAAUUUAACUUUUUAUAUAACGCUCAUUUCAAAUUUUUAUACAUUAUUUACUUUAAUAUUUUCAUAAAUUAUGUAUUUUUAACUUUUUUUACACAUUAUAUAUUUUGAAUUGUUUAUAUAUUAUUUUUAAAGAGUUUUAUAUAUUAUUUUAUCUUGAAUGGAUACUAAUCUUUUUUUAAAUUAUUUUAUAUACUUUAGAUCGCUUUUAUAACAUCC
RNAcentral lists this long non-coding RNA (26750 nucleotides) under Gossypium barbadense (sea-island cotton). RNAcentral describes it as "long non-coding RNA (GBAR_LNC010076)". The stretch from base 8514 to 8620 matches the Rfam family "Plant small nucleolar RNA R71". The record is from RNAcentral. Lineage: Eukaryota; Viridiplantae; Streptophyta; Magnoliopsida; Malvales; Malvaceae.